AAAUAUAAACACGCAUUGUGACAACAACAACAACAACAAAUAUGGCGGAAUCUGUAUUGUCAAACACGGAAGAAGAAGGAUACAACCAUAAUUAAACCAAGAAGUUUAUGAAGAAGGGAUCACUGGAUUUUGUCACUUUGGUACAAGAAACAGAAAAGGAUAUCAUAGACCACCUUACUUAUACGGAAGCAUAGGAGCUGUUGAAGGAAAUUGCUGCCAGACAGUCAACAGUUAUCACUGACAGCCUGUCCUGGCCCAGCUGGGACCAUCCUCAAGCUAACCAUGAUGAUGUGUUUGCAAGAAUUGUCCAUUUGGUAGAACAUGAUGAAGACGAGCUUUGUUGUGGCAUGGCCUGACAAUACUGUACAAGCCAGAGACCAAAAAAGGGUUAAUUGGUGACUGAUCCUCUCACCCUCCUUAUCCAGAAAACGUUUCGGAACAACGUGUUGGCACUGAAGAUGUGGAGGACACAGAUUGAUCACAGUACAUCCUUUGGAUACAUGCACACCUUCAACGGGACGACAACAAAACUGUACCUGCCUUUUUUUUGAAAGGAAGUAGUUAAUAAAAUUAUUGUUAACAGCUUUUUUAGUCUUGUUGUUUAAGAAUGCUUGCAACAUUUAAGUGGAUAAACGGUUGUUUUAAAUUUGAAGCUUCAGUAAUGCAUUCUUUAUUAAAUGAUGUAAUCUUAUUUCUUUCAAUAUAGUGUAAAUAAUAAGAACAUAAUUAUCCUUUGUAUACAAAAUGAAAACCAAGUUUACUGUUCUAUUAAUCAUUAUUUAUUUAUCUUGUUCUUUUGUCAGAAAUAUUACAAGGGCAUACAUACAGUAUUCCUUAAAUAAAAGGGGCAGUUCUUAAAAAAUUAACAUGUAUUUUAGCAAUGCAUAUUCAAACUUUUUCCACAUUUAUAACCAGCAACAAUAUGUAAGUAUUAUAAUGUAACACAAAUUAAUACUAUGAAUUUACUACUGAUUUUGCCGUGCCUGUCAUCAAAUAAACAUGUUUUACUGAAAGUUUCUUAAAAGAUGUUAUGUGGAUGACUUAAUCAAUCAUUUAAUAAAUAUUUGAGCCUCGCUCUUGGAAAAGGGGGUUUAAUGCAUGUACUUAAGGUUGUCCAAGAUUAGGCUGUGCGGACUGCACAGGCUAAUCAGGGGCAACACUUUCCGCCUUAUCUGGAUUUUCUCUCUCCCUUUCAACAAAAAAUACAAUAAAGCAGCAAUUGUCUGCCUGAUUGGUAUGAUCAGCACAUGUUAAUCUCGUACGACAAUUUACGCACAUGCAUUAAGCCCCAUUUUCCCAGGGCAAGGCUCACCUAUUUAGGUUUUAGCUGUCUAUAUGCUCUUUAACUUUUGAAUCAUGAUGCAGUUUCAUAUAAUAAUGUAUUAUGAGUCGUUUUUAAUUGAUGCAUAUUCUUUUGUUCAGUGUUGAACUCAACAUGUAUUAUAAUAAGGUGUUCACUUAACAUUCUUGCAGUAAUGUUUUGCUGUGUAAUAUACAUGUAAUAAUAAAUCAAAAUUGAACAAACUA
Long non-coding RNA from Dreissena polymorpha, 1527 nucleotides. RefSeq lists it as uncharacterized. The record is from RefSeq and is a predicted model, not a curated record. The transcript has 4 exons. Lineage: Eukaryota; Metazoa; Mollusca; Bivalvia; Myida; Dreissenidae.